GACGAACGCUGGCGGCGUGCCUAAUACAUGCAAGUAGAACGCACAGUUUAUACCGUAGCUUGCUACACCAUAGACUGUGAGUUGCGAACGGGUGAGUAACGCGUAGGUAACCUGCCUGGUAGCGGGGGAUAACUAUUGGAAACGAUAGCUAAUACCGCAUAAUAUUGAUUAUUGCAUGAUAAUUGAUUGAAAGAUGCUAUUGCAUCACUACCAGAUGGACCUGCGUUGUAUUAGCUAGUAGGUGAGGUAACGGCUCACCUAGGCGACGAUACAUAGCCGACCUGAGAGGGUGAUCGGCCACACUGGGACUGAGACACGGCCCAGACUCCUACGGGAGGCUGCAGUAGGGAAUCUUCGGCAAUGGACGAAAGUCUGACCGAGCAACGCCGCGUGAGUGAAGAAGGUUUUCGGAUCGUAAAGCUCUGUUGUAAGAGAAGAACGGGUGUGAGAGUGGAAAGUUCACACUGUGACGGUAUCUUACCAGAAAGGGACGGCUAACUACGUG
RNAcentral lists this ribosomal RNA (505 nucleotides) under uncultured bacterium. RNAcentral's name for it is "partial 16S ribosomal RNA". It matches the Rfam family "Bacterial small subunit ribosomal RNA", at positions 28 to 507 of the family's 1533-position model. The record is from RNAcentral.